This 45-nucleotide non-coding RNA is filed under the name Echinostoma caproni. Lineage: Eukaryota; Metazoa; Platyhelminthes; Trematoda; Plagiorchiida; Echinostomatidae. The record is from RNAcentral.
GCACUGCUGAUGAGUCUCAAACAGGACGAAACAGCUGUCCAUUGC